This 253-nucleotide ribosomal RNA is filed under the name uncultured bacterium. Its description in RNAcentral is "partial 16S ribosomal RNA". It matches the Rfam family "Bacterial small subunit ribosomal RNA", at positions 524 to 776 of the family's 1533-position model. The record is from RNAcentral.
UACGGAGGGUGCAAGCGUUAUCCGGAUUUAUUGGGUUUAAAGGGUGCGUAAGUGGGUUGGUAAGUCAGUGGUGAAAUCUUCGAGCUUAACUCGGAAACUGCCAUUGAUACUAUCAAUCUUGAAUUAUCUGGAGGUAAGCGGAAUAUGUCAUGUAGCGGUGAAAUGCUUAGAUAUGACAUAGAACACCCAUUGCGAAGGCAGCUUAGUACGGAUAUAUUGACACUGAGGCACGAAAGCGUGGGGAUCAAACAGG